Molecule: ribosomal RNA, 508 nt
Filed under: uncultured bacterium
Lineage: Bacteria
Description: partial 16S ribosomal RNA
Rfam family: Bacterial small subunit ribosomal RNA
Source: RNAcentral
GACGAACGCUGGCGGCGUGCUUAACACAUGCAAGUCGAACGCUUCUUUCCUCCCUAGUGCUUGCCCUCAAUUGGAAAGAGGAGAAGCGGACGGGUGAGUCACACGAGCGUCACCUACCCAUCACAGGUGGAGAACACUCGGAAACAGGUGCUAAUACCGCAUAACAGUUUAUGCCGCAUGGCAUAAGAGUGAUAGGCGCUUUAGGGCGCCGCUGAUCGACGGACCGGCGGUGAAUUGGCUAGUUGGUGAGGUAAGGUUUCACCAAGGCAGCGAUGCAUGGCCGACCUGGGAGGGUGAUGGGCCACACUGGAACUGAGAACCGGCCAAAACUCCAACGGGAGGCAGCAGUGGGGAAUCUGCGGCAAUGGAGGAAAGUAUGACCGGGAACGGCCGCGUGAGUGACGAAGGUUUUCGGAUCGUAAAACUCUGUUGUUAGGGAAGAAAAACGACGUUAGUAACUGAACGUCACCUGACGGUACCUAACCAGAAAGCCACGGCUAACUACGUG